Molecule: ribosomal RNA, 479 nt
Filed under: uncultured bacterium
Lineage: Bacteria
Description: partial 16S ribosomal RNA
Rfam family: Bacterial small subunit ribosomal RNA
Source: RNAcentral
GAUGAACGCUGGCGGCGUGCUUAACACAUGCAAGUCGAGCGAGAAGUUUUGAAAAGAUUCUUCGGAUGAAAUUUAAAAUGGAAAGCGGCGGACGGGUGAGUAACGCGUAGGCAACCUGCCCCAUACAAAGGGAUAGCAUUUGGAAACGAAUAUUAAUACCUUAUGAAACUUAACUAGUGCAUGCUAGGUAGGUCAAAGAUUUAUCGGUAUGGGAUGGGCCUGCGUCUGAUUAGCUAGUUGGUGAGGUAACGGCUCACCAAGGCGACGAUCAGUAGCCGACCUGAGAGGGUGAACGGCCACAUUGGAACUGAGCCACGGUCCAAACUCCUACGGGAGGCAGCAGUGGGGAAUAUUGCACAAUGGGGGAAACCCUGAUGCAGCAACGCCGCGUGAACGAUGAAGGCCUUUGGGUCGUAAAGUUCUGUUCUAGGUGAUGAAAACUGACAGUAACCUAGGAGAAAGCCCCGGCUAACUCCGUG